GACGAACGCUGGCGGCGUGCUUAACACAUGCAAGUCGAACGGAAAGGCCCUGCUUUUGUGGGGUGCUCGAGUGGCGAACGGGUGAGUAACACGUGAGUAACCUGCCCUUGACUUUGGGAUAACUUCAGGAAACUGGGGCUAAUACCGGAUAGGAGCUCCUGCUGCAUGGUGGGGGUUGGAAAGUUUCGGCGGUUGGGGAUGGACCCGCGGCUUAUCAGCUUGUUGGUGGGGUAGUGGCUUACCAAGGCUUUGACGGGUAGCCGGCCUGAGAGGGUGACCGGCCACAUUGGGACUGAGAUACGGCCCAGACUCCUACGGGAGGCAGCAGUGGGGAAUAUUGCACAAUGGGCGGAAACCUGAUGCAGCAACGCCGCGUGCGGGAUGACGGCCUUCGGGUUGUAAACCGCUUUCGCCUGUGACGAAGCGUGAGUGACGGUAAUGGGUAAAGAAGCACCGGCUAACUACGUG
RNAcentral lists this ribosomal RNA (468 nucleotides) under uncultured bacterium. RNAcentral's name for it is "partial 16S ribosomal RNA". It matches the Rfam family "Bacterial small subunit ribosomal RNA", at positions 28 to 507 of the family's 1533-position model. The record is from RNAcentral.